CGCCUGCGCAGUGGGUGUAGUCGGUGUGGGCGGAGUCAAACGCGUGACCCCGCCCACGCCGAGCCACUCCCCGAUCUGCGUGCUGCAGCCAGGAGGCUUCAGGUUGAAUCCAGCUGAGCUCUGCUGGCCUGCAGGGCGGAGAGACAAACGCUGCUGUGAAGUUUGACCCUCUGUACGACCCGUAGACGUGACGAAACACGGCUGAGCUCGUUUCACUUCCAUCAAUGUUUGAGGAAAAUCAUCAAGAAGGUGAUCAGGUUUCUGACCUGAUGCUCUGGGAACUUUGCUGAGCUUUUCCUCAUAUUAAUCUCUGCUGGAAAUGAUUCAGUGUGAGAUGUUGAGAAUAAUACUGAAGCAGGAAGUGGCAGCUGAGGGAACAGAGCAGUGGAGCUGCUGCAGGGCUGCAUGCAGACAGCCGGGGAUCAACACCUGCUCAGGUAGACGUCUCACUGUCACCUGCAGAGAACAUGAGAGUGAAGCUCCAGCAGGUUCCAGCUGUGCAGGUGUGCAGCUCACAUCUUCACCUGCUCACUUCCUCUGACACCUGAGCUGCGAGCGGCUGACGCGACUCGGCCGUUUGGUUGGGAUUCAUCAUCUGAAGGCGGCGUUUCUGGAGUCCAGUCAGAAAUGAAAGACCUUCCAGAAGACAAUCCAUUCAGACGGUUCUGACACAGACUUGGACUCAGUACUGAUGUCAGCAGGGACGACAGUCGUGCAGCGAGGUGUAACAUAAGAGCAGCACCACCUGAUGAUGUGUUACAGCUCAGAAACACAAAGAUCCAAAUGUUUGUUCAACACGGUCUUUAAAAACAGCUCAGACACAGAGCAGUUCCACUUCUACUGCAAAACCGUCAGAUACAUGUUGUCACAAGCAGACGUGGAGAAAGAAACCCGGGACAGUGUGCAGUCUGCAGCGCUGCCACUCAAACCAGCUCUGUGAGCUCAGACAGCUUUAAUAUCAUCACACCAGCUGAGUGCAAACAGCUGGAGCUGCAGACACCAGAGGCCACAGCAUCAACAUCUGUGUGGAGGUGGAAAUCAUCCAGCAGGUGGAGUUCAGUCAGACAGCUCCACCCUCCAGCUGCCAGUCAGUUCAUGAGGAGGAAAGAACUGAGACACAUGUGACGGUGUCACACACACGUUGCUGUGAUGAAACUCAUUCCACUGAGAUGUUGUUGUUCAGUUUAGUUCCAGUGUUUUAUGGAUUGUAAAUGUAUUUGUAUGAACACAAAUUAAAUUCCCCAUAAAUAACUUUUUAUUUCAGGUCUGUUGUUCUGUGUUUCAGUUGUGGUGAAUUUAAUUUGCUGGUUUUAGGAACCAAAACAAAAGCUCUUGUUUCCAGUGGGAGCUGAGAAGCGUCGCAGCACGAGAGAGAAGCUGAUCUGUGGUCUGCUGCAGCAGCUUCACCUCAUCUGUGGAGGCUGUUAAUGUCCUGUGGAUCACUGAUGCUCGGCCCAGCAGCACUGAUGAGCCCGGCUUCAUCAUGCUGCUCCACCAGCUGAACCAGCACAGACCAGCACAGACCAGCAUGGAAAUCAUGCUGGUCUGUGCUGGUUUUUCACGUCAGGAACACGUCAGUCAGCUGAUCUCCUCCUGAACAUGUGACCGCAGCGGUUCUGUCCGAGGCCGUGGAAGCCCCGAUAUCCCAAACUGAUGUGACCAGUUGUUGACGUCCUGUUUAAAGUGUUAACCUGCUAAAAUCACAUGUGUUCAUGUGGGAGAACGCUGCAGCGAAGCUCUGCUGUCAGCUGCUGCUCACAGCAGACCAUGUUGGUGUAGUGAAGGAAACAAACGUGUGUCUGAUGCUCAUUAAUGUCACUUUGUGACAUGAAGAGUGUGUUAUCUCUCUCUCACUGGACAGGCAUCACACUCAGAGGGAGGAGAAGGUUUAAUGUUCAACCUGACGUGUUCAGCUGCAGAGAGGUCGGUUUAUUUAAGGUUUACUUGUUCAGACUCAGUCUGACAGAGUUCAGGCUGCAGUUCCUGCAAAUCUCCACCAGAUGGCAGCAAAGUCCAGAAGGUGAAAUAUGAACUGAACGGAUAGAAAAUCCUGACCAAUCACUGCAGCUCAUAGAAACACAGUCAGACUGUGAAGUAGAGAUGAGGUCAAACCAAACAUGAUGAUUUGAACACUAUGUUAAAGCCGAUCCAUGCAGGAAUAUGUAGAAGUGUCUGAUCAUAUGAUAGAGAUCAAUAAUGGACGACAGGAUUUAUGUUGAACGGACUGUCAUUGUUUUGUGUGUCGUUGUGUGACAAUGAUCCGAUAUUGAUGGUUUCAGUUUGAAGCUUUGCUCUCGUCCUCCUGUUGGCUCAGCAGGAGAAACCAGGGCUGCAAGUUUUGAGGUCGCGGGUUCGAUU
Molecule: long non-coding RNA, 2358 nt
Organism: Acanthopagrus latus (yellowfin seabream)
Lineage: Eukaryota; Metazoa; Chordata; Actinopteri; Spariformes; Sparidae
Exons: 3
Source: RefSeq, a predicted model, not a curated record